CCGUCGAUAGCUCAGUUGGUAGAGCGGAGGACUGUAGGUAUCCUUAGGUCGCUGGUUCGAAUCCGGCUCGACGGA
This 75-nucleotide non-coding RNA is filed under the name Caenorhabditis japonica. Its description in RNAcentral is "tRNA CJA47350". It matches the Rfam family "tRNA". Rfam says of the family: Transfer RNA (tRNA) molecules are approximately 80 nucleotides in length. Their secondary structure includes four short double-helical elements and three loops (D, anti-codon, and T loops). Lineage: Eukaryota; Metazoa; Nematoda; Chromadorea; Rhabditida; Rhabditidae. The record is from RNAcentral.